Long non-coding RNA from Populus euphratica (Euphrates poplar), 314 nucleotides. RefSeq lists it as uncharacterized. The record is from RefSeq and is a predicted model, not a curated record. NCBI's taxonomy places the organism in Eukaryota, Viridiplantae, Streptophyta, Magnoliopsida, Malpighiales, Salicaceae. The transcript is spliced from 2 exons.
GAGUAGAUUAGUUUUGUAAACAGUGCAAACAAGUUGACAUUGAUAAAUUUUGUAGAAAAAUCAUGAGAUAAAUGGUUCCAUUGAUAAAGUUUGUGGAGUAUAGUUUAAGAGAAACCUCUGCAAAUUCUAGUUUACGGAUACAAUUAUGUUAAAACUUUUUGGAUAAGUGUGCAUCUGCCUAUGAACAAAAUGAAGAAUAACAAAAAUUCUCAAACAUAGAAGCUCGCAGGCUGCAACUGGUACUAUUAAACGCCAUUCCGACUAACAACACGGAAAUAAAAGUGGAAAUCACUAUCGCCAGACAAAAAACAAAA